AAAUCAUGCAUCAGACAUUUUCGCUCUAAAUCUUUAAAUAAUUCUCAUACUUCACAGAAGUUCUCAUCCUCUAUUUUCUUGAAAGAUGUGAUGUCAUUCCUCAAUCU
This is a small nucleolar RNA of Hibiscus syriacus, 107 nucleotides long. NCBI's taxonomy places the organism in Eukaryota, Viridiplantae, Streptophyta, Magnoliopsida, Malvales, Malvaceae. The record is from RefSeq and is a predicted model, not a curated record.